Molecule: ribosomal RNA, 440 nt
Filed under: uncultured bacterium
Lineage: Bacteria
Description: partial 16S ribosomal RNA
Rfam family: Bacterial small subunit ribosomal RNA
Source: RNAcentral
CCUACGGGUGGCAGCAGUGGGGGAUAUUGCACAAUGGGGGAAACCCUGAUGCAGCGACGCCGCGUGUGGGAAGACGGACCUCUGGAUUGUAAACCACUGUCCCCAGGGACGAAAAUGACGGUACCUGGGGAGGAAGCUCCGCCUACCUACGUGCCAGCAGCCGCGGUAAUACGUAGGGAGCGAGCGUUGUCCGGAUUUCCUGGGUGUAAAGGGAGCGUAGGCGGGGGUGCAGGUUGGGUGUCAAAACUAGCGGCUCAACUGGUGAUUGCACUCAAAACUGCAGCUCUUGAGUGAAGUAGGGGCAGGCGGAAUUCCUGGUGUAGCGGUGAAAUGCGUAGAUAUUAGGAGGAACACCAGUGGCGAAGGCGGCCUGCUGGGCUGAUACUGACGCUGAGGCUCGAAAGUGUGGGGAGCAAACAGGAUUAGAUACCCUGGUAGUC